RNAcentral lists this ribosomal RNA (250 nucleotides) under uncultured bacterium. RNAcentral describes it as "partial 16S ribosomal RNA". It matches the Rfam family "Bacterial small subunit ribosomal RNA", at positions 524 to 773 of the family's 1533-position model. The record is from RNAcentral.
UACGAAGGGGGCUAGCGUUACUCGGAAUUACUGGGCGUAAAGGGCGCGUAGGCGGCUUGAUAAGUCAGGCGUGAAAUUCCCGGGCUCAACCUGGGGACUGCGCUUGAGACUGUUGAGCUAGAGGAUGGAAGAGGGUCGUGGAAUUCCCAGUGUAGAGGUGAAAUUCGUAGAUAUUGGGAAGAACACCGGUGGCGAAGGCGGCGACCUGGUCCAUUACUGACGCUGAGGCGCGACAGCGUGGGGAGCAAAC